Molecule: long non-coding RNA, 721 nt
Filed under: Salmo salar (Atlantic salmon)
Lineage: Eukaryota; Metazoa; Chordata; Actinopteri; Salmoniformes; Salmonidae
Description: lncRNA (ENSSSAG00000089048.1)
Source: RNAcentral
GAAGACCAGAAGACAUCAUCCAGAUAAACAGCCAUCAAUCAGACAGCAUCGUCCAACUGUAAGAGAUAUGUUUGUUUUCACUGAGAAUCUUCUUUGCAAAGGUGUAUAAGAGUGGGCAGGUGUAUACAAGUGGACAGUAAAGGAUGAAGAUCCAGAGUAUGUUACUGCUGUUCGCUCUAGUGGGUGUCCUGUUAGCAAGCUCCCUCAAUGAAGAUAACUCUGAGGAAGCUCUCCUGCAGGAGGAUGAUCUAAAAAGUGGAAAGGCUGCAUUUUUGGCAAAGUUGGCUGCUCUGAAGACCAGCGCCUCUGAAGAUGAAGCACCAUUUUGGAGCGUGCUUUGGAACAAAGCCAAGGAAAUUGUGGGGUGAGAAGCGACCAGAAUUGGGAUGCCAAGGAUCCUUUUCAGUCUCCAUAUGGAAUCAACUAUCACCUCUGAAGACAUCACUAACAAUACCUCAAUGAAUCAUUCCAACAUCCAUCCAUCAAUCACUGACUAACAAAAAACAAAACAGUAAUACAGUUCUUUGGUACUUUGGUACUGAGAAGAACUCAUCAACAUAAUGAAGAAUAUAUGUUUUAUCCAUAAACGUACUUUAUGUCCUGACACAUGGUCGUUUUUUCGUCAAGACAGCGGAUUUAUAUUAAUGAUCAGAAUUUCUUUGUGCAAUGUUGUAUGGUUGACGUGUCACACUGUGAUCCUCCAAUAAACUAUCAAGCAUUA